This 601-nucleotide ribosomal RNA is filed under the name uncultured Bacilli bacterium. Its description in RNAcentral is "bacterial SSU rRNA". It matches the Rfam family "Bacterial small subunit ribosomal RNA", at positions 67 to 648 of the family's 1533-position model. Lineage: Bacteria; Bacillati; Bacillota; Bacilli. The record is from RNAcentral.
CUUUCACCGGAGCUUGCUCCACCGAAAGAAAAAGAGUGGCGAACGGGUGAGUAACACGUGGGUAACCUGCCCAUCAGAAGGGGAUAACACUUGGAAACAGGUGCUAAUACCGUAUAACACUAUUUUCCGCAUGGAAGAAAGUUGAAAGGCGCUUUUGCGUCACUGAUGGAUGGACCCGCGGUGCAUUAGCUAGUUGGUGAGGUAACGGCUCACCAAGGCAACGAUGCAUAGCCGACCUGAGAGGGUGAUCGGCCACACUGGGACUGAGACACGGCCCAGACUCCUACGGGAGGCAGCAGUAGGGAAUCUUCGGCAAUGGACGAAAGUCUGACCGAGCAACGCCGCGUGAGUGAAGAAGGUUUUCGGAUCGUAAAACUCUGUUGUUAGAGAAGAACAAGGAUGAGAGUAAAAUGUUCAUCCCUUGACGGUAUCUAACCAGAAAGCCACGGCUAACUACGUGCCAGCAGCCGCGGUAAUACGUAGGUGGCAAGCGUUGUCCGGAUUUAUUGGGCGUAAAGCGAGCGCAGGCGGUUUCUUAAGUCUGAUGUGAAAGCCCCCGGCUCAACCGGGGAGGGUCAUUGGAAACUGGGAGACUUGAGUG